This 2394-nucleotide long non-coding RNA is filed under the name Helianthus annuus (common sunflower). RNAcentral's name for it is "hypothetical non coding rna". The record is from RNAcentral. Lineage: Eukaryota; Viridiplantae; Streptophyta; Magnoliopsida; Asterales; Asteraceae.
UUAACACAAGCGUUUCUUUUCAUCCUUUGCCUCCAAUUAGUUCUCUUUUUUUUCAAUUGAAAGAACCUAGAUCUCAUCUCUCUACGGUCAAAAGUAACCUGGAACCCUUGAUUGUGAGACAAUGUGACCAUCGGUUUCUAAGGUUUUUGUAUUGAUUCUUGAAGGAGUCAUCGGAACUGGCGGCACUUGAAGCAUCCAAAGGAUUCGAGAGACGAUAAUGUUCCCUGUUUCAAAUCUUUUUGAGGUGCUCAGUUUUUUCUGUCGACAAGGUGGUUGUGGCGUUUGAUUUAUAGGGUUAGGGUUUUCCAGAAUUGGGCUGACGGGAGAUCCGGGCACUCCAAAUAAGUGAGACAGGCAAGAGUAAGACAGCCAAAAAUAUCCUUUUUUGUACCUUUUUUAUGUAUUAUUUUUAGUUCCCACUCACUUGAUAAUAAUGGAUUUAACUUUAUUUGUUAAUUUAAUUUUUGUAAUAGUGUCAUGAAGGAACCAACUUCGGGCGUACUACUGGUGGCCCGUUUAUUGCUACAAGCUAUGACUAUCAUGCUUCUCCUAAUGAGUUAACGUUAUUUAAAUAUCAACCAUUUACGUUUUCAUGAGUGUUUGUUGUUCUUAGCUAGCAUAUGUCUUUACUUUUGAGUUUCAAAGUGCUGUGAUAAAUUAAGCGAAUAGCCAGCCAUCAACUAACUACUACUUUCUUGGACAGUUAAUGAUGUUGUUGGAGAUGUGUAUUGUUUCAAUUAUGAUGACUAAAUAAUGUAAUAUCAAAUCUAAUAAUUUUGAUAUGGUGUAAAAAGUUGAUAAAAAGGUUAGGGUUUAUGUUUUAGCUUUUCUUCUUCUUGGUUGUAGUCUCGAAGGGCCUAAGUUAUUGUUCUGCCUCAUCUCUCUUCUAAAUAUGUAUUUAAGUGCUGAAAACUAUUUGCCGCAUGUAAGCUUUUUGGGUAUAUGUAUAAGCCUCUCAAUUUUAAUAGCUAUAUGUAUAAGCUAGAAGAUGUUCUCAUAACUUGAUUACGUGUAACUAUAGGUGAGCUACUUCCGUACCAGCUUGAAGGAUUGAAUUUCUUGCGUUUCUCAUGGUCUAAAGUCUAAACAAACACAUGUGAUACUUGCAGACGAAAUGGGUCUUGGGACAACCUUAAGCUUUUGGAAGUAAAGCCCUAGCCCUAGGAUCCAAAUAUUCUUAGAUCUACACUACGUUAGGGUUAAUACAUCAAAUUUUCAAUUGAUUUGAAAUCUUGGCCAAUCUUUCAUUAACAGGUAUGUAGAAUUAAAUGCGUGAUAAGUAUAGGGGAGAAAGGCUAAGGGGUUUAUACUUUCUAGUUGUUUUUUGUUGUCACUCGCUUAGAAAAAGUAUUUUGAUUGUUGCUGCUCCUAAUUUGAGUUGGUAAUGGCUGUGAAUUGUUGUUAUUUGCUUGAAAUGCCUUUUUUAUUUUUCUUGGUUGUAUUUGGUUUCAGAACAGAAGCUUUGGGAUGAAUUUGUAUAUUGGUAAUGAUGUAAUUAAUAUGCAUGACAGAUUUUGUGCACUUGGCAAAGCACGCUAGGUGGUUGAUGCCAUGCCGAAGAGAGAUGCUUUCAAUUUUAUAUACGCCAGCAAGAUCAUGUGUAACGAUAAAGUUGUUAAGUUGUUAAGCAUACACAAUUAAGGAAGUGUGUAGAAUUUGAUUAAUUUUUUGUUUCUUAUAAGUAUAUAUAAUCUUUUUGUUAAUACUUAGGAGUUUUGUGGAAGAGUGAAAGGUAUAAAGGUGGAUAUUGUGGACAUAACAAGUGCUCAAGAUGUGUUUCUAGCUGGAGUAUCUUCAAAACAGUAGUGCAUUAAAACAAUAUGUUCCAAUCCUUAAGAUGGUCUAUACUCAUUCUGUCCUUUAAAGUUUUCAGGAUGAUACGGUCCAAGAAUAUUCAGAUGCACCUUUAAGACAUUCUCCAACUCAUGUGCUUGUGACGUCCAUAGUUGUAAAUCCCGACUAGCGCCUAGCGAUUCUUACAACACUGGUGGCAUCUAAAGUCUCUUUUCUACUUGGUUACCAUCUUGGGUCAGUAAAUGAACUACUUGAAAGUAUGUCUACACAUGUACUUGGUUUAGAUGAGAUUAACAUGGCAGAAGGUGUUAAAGUUAAAACUAAGCUUUGGCUACGUAUUGAAGAGGACUAUCAAAGGACAAAAGCUGAGCUAGAAGUUAUGCAGAAAGAUUGAUUUUGACAGCUAACAAGCAAACUUUGAAGCUAAGAUACAAAUUACUAUGAAAAAGCUAUGUAUUGGAGUACUUCAUGAUCUUAGAGAUGAGUAGAAUGUUCAUUGUAAUCGUACUUGAUAACUAUAUUUAUGAUCCAUUGUUAUUUUGAGUUUGGACAUAUGUAACAUUACAAUAUGAGAUUAUAUAAUAUAUUUAUGUUAUUAUU